Molecule: transfer RNA, 86 nt
Filed under: Bacillota bacterium
Lineage: Bacteria; Bacillati; Bacillota
Description: Firmicutes bacterium (anaerobic digester metagenome) tRNA-Tyr
Rfam family: tRNA
About the family: Transfer RNA (tRNA) molecules are approximately 80 nucleotides in length. Their secondary structure includes four short double-helical elements and three loops (D, anti-codon, and T loops).
Source: RNAcentral
GGAGAGAUGGCCGAGUGGUUAAAGGCGACAGACUGUAAAUCUGUUCCCGCACGGGUUCGGAGGUUCGAAUCCUCCUCUCUCCACCA